GCGGCCUUAGUUGAACAAGAUCUGUUCUAAAGGAUCAUACCACUUUAUUCUUGAGUUUCAAGGAGAUAGGAAAUUAUGUCUGGUUGAUGAACUAUGGCCAAUUGACUAGAGUGUGAUUAACACCUUCUAUGGCCUCUGACCCACAAGGAUCUGUUCUCUUGUGGAUCUUUUGGCUAGUGACAUGCU
Molecule: small nucleolar RNA, 186 nt
Filed under: Nicotiana attenuata
Lineage: Eukaryota; Viridiplantae; Streptophyta; Magnoliopsida; Solanales; Solanaceae
Description: snoRNA Plant_U3
Rfam family: Plant small nucleolar RNA U3
About the family: Small nucleolar RNAs (snoRNAs) are involved in the processing and modification of rRNA in the nucleolus. There are two main classes of snoRNAs: the box C/D class, and the box H/ACA class.
Source: Rfam by way of RNAcentral